This 311-nucleotide unclassified non-coding RNA is filed under the name uncultured Icmadophila. RNAcentral's name for it is "partial contains 5.8S ribosomal RNA, internal transcribed spacer 2, and large subunit ribosomal RNA". The record is from RNAcentral. Lineage: Eukaryota; Fungi; Ascomycota; Lecanoromycetes; Pertusariales; Icmadophilaceae.
AACGCACAUUGCACCUUUUGGUAUUCCGAAAGGUAUGCUUGUUCGAGCGUCGUUUAAACUAUAUCAAUUUAAUUAUUGAAUGUAUUGAGUGACUUUUCUCUUUUAUUAUUAUCAGAGACACUCCAAAAUGAUUGAGCGAUCUUGAUUAGACUUGUUUAACGCAUUAAAAUAACUAUCGUUAGAAGAGAAAAUCAAUGAGCUGCCAAAUUAAACUAACUAGUACUGUUAAUCAGAGUCAAAUCUGAUUAAUAAUAUUAUUAACUUUUUUAAAUAUCGACCUCGGAUCAAGUGGGAUUACCCGCUGAACUUAA